Molecule: ribosomal RNA, 501 nt
Filed under: uncultured bacterium
Lineage: Bacteria
Description: partial 16S ribosomal RNA
Rfam family: Bacterial small subunit ribosomal RNA
Source: RNAcentral
AUUGAACGCUGGCGGCAUGCCUUACACAUGCAAGUCGAACGGCAGCACGGGUGCUUGCACCUGGUGGCGAGUGGCGAACGGGUGAGUAAUAUAUCGGAACGUACCUUAUUGUGGGGGAUAACGCAGCGAAAGCUGUGCUAAUACCGCAUAAUCCCUAAGGGGGAAAGCGGGGGACCGUAAGGCCUCGCGCAAUUAGAGCGGCCGAUACCUGAUUAGCUAGUUGGUGAGGUAAAGGUUCACUAAGGCAACGAUCAGUAGCUGGUCUGAGAGGACGAUCAGCCACACUGGGACUGAGACACGGCCCAGACUCCUACGGGAGGCAGCAGUGGGGAAUUUUGGACAAUGGGGGCAACCCUGAUCCAGCAAUGCCGCGUGAGUGAAGAAGGCCUUCGGGUUGUAAAGCUCUUUUGUCAGGGAAGAAACAGCAGCUCUAACACAGUUUGCGAAUGACGGUACCUGAAGAAUAAGCACCGGCUAACUACGUGCCAGCAGCCGCGGUAA